Phasianus colchicus (ring-necked pheasant) is the source of this 2306-nucleotide long non-coding RNA. NCBI's taxonomy places the organism in Eukaryota, Metazoa, Chordata, Aves, Galliformes, Phasianidae. The record is from Ensembl.
AUGUGCCCUUCCCUCUGCCCCAAGGGCCUUACAAAGGGAACAUUGGUACUGCUAGCCCUGGCAACUGGCACCACGUGUCACUUCACAUCAUCAAGAGUCACUAAACCUUUUGUGAUGUCAGAAAGCGCUCAGCAGAACUGGGGCCCCACAAGCACAGCCCCCACAAGCACAGUGUCUGCAGGUGCAGGUGCAGGUGCUGGUGCUGGUGCUGGUAUUGGUACUGGCAGUGUUGGCACUGGUGGUAGUGCCCAGUCCCGACAGAUCAUGGAGAAGAUUCGAAAGUUUUUCUGGAGAUUAAGGAAGACACAGAGAAGGUGCAGUGCUCGCGUGCAUCCCAUGGACUGCACAGAGCAGGAAAGCCAGGGAGAAGGCCCUUUGGAAUAUGAAGUCAAGCAGGCAGAGGGCAGUGCAGAUGGAGUAGCAGCGGCAACUUCUGCCCCGCUCCAUCUCUCCAACAUCGAUGGAGCAGCAGUGGAAACUUCUGCCCCGCUCCGUCUCUCCGACAUAGAUGGAGUAGCAGUGGAAACUUCUGCCCCGCUCCGUCUCUCCGACAUAGAUGGAGUAGCAGUGGAAACUUCUGCCCCUCUCAGUCUCACCAAGACGUUUGAAAGUCACUCAAGCUCAGCAAACGAUGCUGAGCAGGGAUUUAAGAAACAAUUUGAGCCCUCCUGCGUAGAAAACCUCUCUGGGAACAUCCCUGAGUUGCCAAAGAGCAAGAAGACCUUGCCUCAGCAGCAGAAGAAAUCCAAUAGGAGACCUCACAGGCAAAAGAGACAACUGGAGCAAUGGGAAGAAAUGCUUGAGGAAAAGACAUUGCUUUUAGAAGCAAGAGAAAAAGCAUUUUUCCAGGCCCAGAGGCAGGCAGAGAAACGUCAUGCUUCACACCUUGCAAAAAAAACUGCAGAGUGGGAAGUUCUGCAGGAACAAGUGGCCCAGCUCCAACGUGAAAACCUUUCACUGUGUCAGCAGCUGGAAGAUGCUCAGAACACCAACCAGAGAACAGUCGGACAGCUCCAACAAGAACUUGCUGAGGCUGUUGGAAAGCAGCACGUCACAGAAGCAUCCCUGAAAACUUCUGCCGACUUACAUGACUCACUGAAGAAAGAAAACUCCAAGUUGCAAGAGGAUGUGGACAAGGCUAAUGCCAAGGUGUGUGACCUUUCUGCACGGCUGGAGUUGGAGUACUCAAAGUUGCUGGUGCAAAAAAGGGCAAAUGAGGAGCUGCGAGUGAAGGAGGCUGUUCUCAAGCAGCGCUUAGAGGUUGUAUUGGAGGAUUAUAAAAUAGCAGCGUGGAUUGAAAAGAGGCGUGAAGAAAAAAUGCAAGAGAAACUUGCCGACAGUUGCAGAAAGCAGUCGGUUUCAGAAAUGUCUCUGAAGCGUUCUGAAAAUCACUGCCGUAACCUGCAAAACGACGUCUUGAUACUGAAGGAAAGCUUGGACAAGGCCAAUGUCAAGGUGUUUGAACUUUCCAUACAGCUGGAGAUGGAACGGCAAAACUCACUGCAGCUAGAAAUGACAAAUCGGGCGCUGCAAGACCUGGUUCACCAACAUCGCCCACAGGCCACUGCAGCGGGCUGCAGCCCAUUCUCAGAGACUGGAAGGUGGCAUGAAGAAAGAGCCCCAGAAGAAAUGGGGCAGAAGCAAGAGCCCAGCCUCUUUUUCCCGGCAGCCUCUCAAAGCAGGCUAGAGGAGAUCAAUGCCAAAGAGGCAAUGUUUAGAAGGCAACAGAGGCAGAGAAUUGCAGCUCUGACAUCAGAAAUGGAGAGAGCCCAAAGCAUGCAUCAGGAGAGCUUGCGGCAAAUAGCACACUGGCAGGCAGAGCUAGACCUCUCAGAAAAACUGUUCCUGGUGGGUGAGGACAUUAGAAGAAGCCUUGCAAAUAAAUAAGACAAUAGGAAAGAAUUAUUAUUACUAUGAGACAGAAGUAAUCCAUUCAGUCUCACUCAUGACGGCGCUUCUUCAAUUUGAGUUUUCACUGGGAGGAGAGAAAUAGUCCUACGACCUUGUGGGAGAAGGCCUAUAAAUACAGCACAGUCUGGAAGCGUGAGAAGCAGAGCAUCUGGCUAAGAAACUCAGAUGCCUACUUCCCUAAAUCCACGAUCCUACUGGCCUGCUAAUGUAGCGUAAGACCUGUGACAACGUGAGCAACAGCAGUUCUCGCACGCUUCUGCUUUUUUCGCAAAACUAAUGAGAGGCCAGCAGAAACCAAGGACAAAGGCCUCAGGAUGACCCACAAAGAAAUUUCUCCAUCGUGAGGCCAAUGACUCUGGGCAACACCAAGAGAAAACAGAGAGGAGGACCUACAU